CCUUCCUCACUUCCUCCCUUCCCUCUCUCUCUCCCUCUUUCUCCCUCCCCUCUCUCUCUCCCUCUUUCUCCCUCCCCUCUCUCUCUUCCUCUCUCUCUCUCUCUCUCUCUCUCUCUCUCGAUGUAAUUGACAACAGAUUACCGUCUGACUCUGCAGCCAGAUGAAAGAACACAAUGUUUUCAGCCUUCCAAUGACCAUGCAGCAGCGCUGCGGUAUGGGUACGGGCUCUCAUCAAGUGCCCUCUUGUGACAGUUUAGAUUUUAAUAGGAGUUGAUAAGACAGCACAAACAUACUGUAUCAAUAUAGCUCCUCAGAUCUAGGAUCAUAAUGAAUGGACAGGGUCAGCACUAUGAGAUACUGAAUGAACACAGAUCUCUCCUCUGCACCAUGUUAGUCUCACGGUGUCUACAUCUGACAACACAUGUAUCAUUCCAGAGCUGCCUAUGUAAUGAUGACUCGGUCUGUGUCUCACUCGCUCUCUCUCUCUCGCUCUCUCUCUCUCUCUCUCUCACUCACUCACUCACUCACUCACUCACUCACUCACUCACUCACUCACUCACUCACUCACUCACUCACUCACUCACUCACUCACACAGAGCGAGAUAUUCCAACUAAAUGUUUUUUUUUUUUCUCCACCUUUAUUUAACCAGAUAGGCUAGUUGAGAACAAGUUCUCAUUUACAACUGCGACCUGGCCAAGAUAAAGCAUAGCAAUUCGACACUAAACAGUGUCCAAAGAGGGGCCAGAAGUAUACAGAAUGGUGUCGUCUGCGUAGAGGUGGAUCAGAGAAUCACCAGCAGCAAGAGCAACAUCAUUGAUGUAUACAGAGAAGAGAGUCUGUAUACAGAGAAGAGAGUCGGCCCGAGAAUUUAACCCUGUGGCACCCCCAUAGAGACUGCCAGAGGUCCGGACAACAGGCCCUCCGAUUUGACACACUGAACCAGGCGAGGCAAUCAUUUGAGAAACCAAGGCUGUCGAGUCUGCCAAUAAGAAUGUGGUGAUUGACAGAGUUAAAAGCCUUGGCCAAGUCGAUGAAUACGGCUGCACAGUAAUGUCUCUUAUUGAUGGCGGUUAUGAUGUCGUUUAGGACCUUGAGCGUGGCUGAGGUGCACCUAUGACCAGCUCUGAAACCAGAUUGCAUAGCGGAGAAGGUACGGUGGGAUUCGAAAUGGUCGGUAAUCUGUUUGUUAACUUGGCUUUCGAAGACCUUAGAAAGACAGGGUAGGAUGGAUAUAGGUCUGUAGCAGUUUGGGUCUAGAGUGUCACUCCCUUUGAAGAGGGGGAUGACCGCGGCAGCUUUCCAAUCUUUAGGAAUCUCAGAUGAUACGAAAGAGAGGUUGAACAGGCUAGUAAUAGGGGUUGCAACAAUUUCGGCAGAUCAUUUUAGAAAGAGAGGGUCCAGAUUGUCUAGCCCGGCUGAUUUGUAUGGGUCCAGAUUUUGCAGCUCUUUCAGAACAUCAGCUAUCUGGAUUUGGGUGAAGGAGAAAUGGUGUCGGCUUUGGCGGUUGCUGUGGACGGUGCCGGGCAGUUAACCGGGGUAGGGGUAGCCAGGUGGAAAGCAUGGCCAGCCGUAGAGAAAUGCUUGUUGAAAUUCAAUAUCUCUGGUGACAGUGUUUCCUAGCCUCAGUGCAGUGGGCAGCUGGGAGGAGGUGCUCUUAUUCUCCAUGGACUUUACAGUGUCCCAGAACUUUUUUGAGUUAGUACUACAGGAUGUAAAUUUCUGUUUGAAAAAGAUAGCCUUAGCUUUUCUAACUGCCUGUGUAUAUUUGUUCCUAACUUCCCUGAAAAGUUGCAUGUCACGUGGGCUAUUCGAUGCUAAUGCAGAACGCCACAGGAUGUUUUUGUGCUGGUCACGGGCAGACAGGUCUGGAGUGAACCAAGGACUAUAUCUAUUCCUAGUUCUAGAUUUUUUGAAUGGGGCAUGCUUAUUUAAGAUGGUGAGGAAGGCACUUUUAAAGAAUAGCCAGGCAUCAUCUACUGACGGUAUGAGGUCAAUGUCAUUCCAGGAUACCCUGGCCAGGUCGAUUAGAAAGGCCUGCUCGCAGAAGUGUUUUAGGGAGCAUUUGACAGUGAUGAGGGGUGGUCGUUUGGUCGCAGACCCAUUACGGAUGCAGGCAAUGAGGCAGUGAUCGCUGAGAUCUUGAUUGAAAACAGCAGAGGUGUAUUUGGAGGGCGAGUUAGUUAGGAUGAUAUCUAUGAGGGUGCCCGUGUUUACGGAUUUGGGGUUGUACCUGGUAGGUUCAUUGAUAAUUUGUGUGAGAUUGAGGGCAUCAAGCUUAGAUUGUAGGACGGCUGGGUUGUUAAGCAUGUCCCAGUUUAGGUCACCUAGUAGCACGAGCUCAGAAGAUAGAUGGGGGCAAUCAACUAACAUAUGGUAUCGAGGGCACAGCUGGGGGCAGAGGGAGGUCUAUAGCAAGCGGCAACAGUGAGAGACUUGUUUCUGGAAAGGUGAAUUUUUAGAAGUAGAAGCUCGAAUUGUUUGGGUACAGACUUGUAUAGUAAUACAGAACUGCAGGCUAUCUUUGCAGUAGAUUGCAACACCGCCCCCUUUGGCAGUUCUAUCUUGGCGGAAAAUGUUAUAGUUAGUUUUCCUAAGUCAGGAUUCAGACACGGCGAAGACAUCCGGGUUGGCUGAGUGUGCUAAAGCAGUGAGUAAAACAAACUUAGGGGGUAGGCUUCUAAUGUUAACAUGCAUGAAACCAAGGCUUUUACGGUUACAGAAGUCAACAAAUGAGAGCACCUGUGGAGUGGGAGUGGAGCUAGGCACUGCAGGACCUGGAUUAACCUCCACAUCACCAGAGGAAUAGAGGAGAAGUAGGAUAAGGGUACGGCUAAAGGCUAUACGAACUGGCCGUCUAGCACAUUUGGAACAGAGAGUAAAAGGAGCAGGUUUCUGGGCACGAUAGCAUAGAUUCAAGGCAUAAUGUACAGACAAAGGUAAUGUAGGAUGUGAGUACAUUGGAGGUAAACCUAGGCAUUGAGUAAUGAUGAGAGAGAUAUAGUCUCUAGAGACGUUUAAACCAGGUGAUGUUAUCGCAUAUGUAGGAGGUGGAACAACAUGGUUGGUUAAGGCAUAUUGAGCAGGGCUAAAGGCUCUACAGUGAAAUAAGACAGUAAUCACUAACCAGGACAGUAAUGGACGAGGCAUAUUGCUAUUAGAGAGAGGCAUGCGUAGCCAAGUGAACAUAUGGGUCCAGUGAUUGGUUGGGCUGACUGGGGACACGGCGAUUCAGACAGUUAGCAGGUCGAUGCUAACAGUUAGUAGGCCGGGGUUAAACAAGCUAGCAAUUAGCAGACUGGGGCUGGCAAGCUAGCAGUUAGCAUACCGGGUUAGCAAGUUAGCCUUUGGGGGAAGUCGCGAUGGGGGUAAGUCUGUUUUUGCCUCUUCGUGCGGUGACGUCGAUAGACCAGUCGUGGAAUUAGUAGGGUUCCAAGUAGCUCUAGAUAGCUAGCAGGCCGGUUAGCAGAAUGGGCCUUCAGUGGACGUCGCGCCUGAGGGGCCUGUUGGAAUCAAAUGGUUGAUUAAACAUGGCUGACUGAGAUAUGGAGGAGGUAUGGAGGAGGAGGUACGGAGGAGAUAUGGAGGAGGAGGUACGGAGGAGAUAUGGAGGAGAUAUGGAGGAGGAGGUACUGAGGAGAUAUGGAGGAGAUAUGGAGGAGGAGGUACAGAUGAGGAGGAGGUAUGGAGGAGGUACGGAGGAGAUAUGGAGGAGAUAUGGAGGAGGAGGUACAGAUGAGGAGGAGAUAUGGAGGAGGAGGUACGGAGGAGAUAUGGAGGAGAUAUGGAGGAGGAGGUACAGAUGAGGAGGAGGUAUGGAGGAGGUACGGAGGAGGUAUAGAGAAGAUAUGGAGGAGGUACAGAGGAGAUAUGGAGAUAUGGAGGAGGUAUGGAGGGGGUACAGAGGAGAUACGGAGGAGAUAUGGAGGAGGUACAGAGGAGAUACGGAGGAGGAGGAGGUAUGGAGGAGGCGGAGGUAUGGAGGAGAUAUGGAGGAGGAGAUAUGGAGGAGGAGGUACGGAGGAGGUAAAGAGAAGAUAUGGAGGAGGAGGUACAGAUGAGGAGGAGGUAUGGAGGAGGUAUGGAGGAGAUACAGAGAAGAUAUGGAGGAGGAGGUACAGAGGAGGUGGUAUGGAGGAGAUAUGGAGGAGGAGGUACGGAGGAGAUAUGGAGGAGAUAUGGAGGAGGAGGUACAGAUGAGGAGGAGGUAUGGAGGAGGUACGGAGGAGGUAUAGAGAAGAUAUGGAGGAGGUACAGAGGAGAUAUGGAGAUAUGGAGGAGGUAUGGAGGGGGUACAGAGGAGAUACGGAGGAGAUAUGGAGGAGGUACAGAGGAGAUACGGAGGAGGAGGAGGUAUGGAGGAGGCGGAGGUAUGGAGGAGAUAUGGAGGAGGAGAUAUGGAGGAGGAGGUACGGAGGAGGUACAGAGAAGAUAUGGAGGAGGAGGUACAGAUGAGGAGGAGGUAUGGAGGAGGUAUGGAGGAGAUACAGAGAAGAUAUGGAGGAGGAGGUACAGAGGAGGAGGUAUGGAGGAGAUAUGGAGGAGGAGGUACGGAGGAGAUAUGGAGGAGAUAUGGAGGAGAUAUGGAGGAGAUACGGAGGAGGUAUGGAAGAGGAGAGAUGGAGGAGGAGGUAUGGAAGAGGAGGAGGAGGUAUAGAGGAGGUAUGGAGGAGGAGAUACGGAGGAGAUAUGGAGGAGGAGGUAUGGAGGAGGAGGAGGUAUGGAGGAGGUACGAGGAGAAAUGGAGGAGGAGAGAUGGAGGAGGAGGAGGUAUAGAGGAGGAGGUACGGAGGAAAUACAAAGGAGUAGGAGGUAUGGAGGAGGUACAGAGGAGAAAUGGAGGCGGAGGUAUGGAGGAGGUACAGAGAAGAUAUGGAGGAGGAGAUAUGGAGGUACAGAGAAGGAGGAGGUAUGGAGGAGGUACAGAGGAGGAGGAGGUAUGGAGGAGGUACGGAGGAGGAGGAGGUAUGGAGGAGGUACAGAGGAGGAGGAGGUGUGGAGGAGGUACGGAGGAGAAAUGGAGGAGGAGGUAUGGAGGAGGUAUGGAGGAGGAGGUACGGAGGAGGUACAGAGGAGGAGGAGGUAUGGAGGAGGAGGUAUGGAGGAGGAGGUAUGGAGGAGGAGGAUGCAUGGAGGAGGUGCAGAGGAGGAGGAGGUAUAGAGGAGGUAUGGAGGAGAAAUGGAGGAGGAGGUACAGAGAAGAUAUGGAGGAGGAGAUAUGGAGGAGUAUGGAGGAGGUACAGAGAAGGAGGAGGUAUGGAGGAGGUACAGAUGAGGAGGAGGUAUGAAGGAGGUAUGGAGGAGGUAUGGAGGAGGUACAGAGAAGAUAUAGAGGAGGAGAUAUGGAGGAGGUAUGGAGGAGAUAUAGAGGAGAUAUAGAGGAGGAGAUAUGGAGGAGGUAUGGAGGAGAUAUAGAGGAGAUAUAGAGGAGGAGGUACGGGGGAGGUAGAGGAGGAGGAGGAAUGGAGGAGAAGAUAUGGAGGAGGAGGUAUGGAGGAGAUAUAGAGGAGGAGGUACGGAGGAGGAGGUACAGAGGAGGAGUUAUGGAGGAGGUAUGGAGGCGAUAUAGAGGAGGAGGUAUGGAGGAGAUAAAGAGGAGAUAUGGAGGAGGUAUGGAGGAGAUAAAGAGGAGAUAUGGAGGAGGUAAAGAGGAGAUAUGGAGGAGGUAAAGAGGAGAUAUGGAUGAGGUAAGGAGGAGGUAUGGAGGAGGAGGUAUGGAGGAGGAGGUAUGGAGGACGAGAUAUGGAUGAGGUAAGGAGGAGGUAUGGAGGAGGAGGUAUGGAGGAGGUAAAGAGGAGGUAUGGAGGAGGAGGUAUGGAGGAGGUAAAGAGGAGGUAUGGAGGAGGAGGUAUGGAGGAGGAGGUAUGGAGGAGAUAAGGAGGAGAUAUGGAGGAGGUAAAGAGGAGAUAUGGAGGAGGUAUGGAGGAGGAGGUAGGGAGGAGGUAGGGAGGAGGAGACAUAGAGGUUUGGAGGAGGUUUGGAGGAGAUAUGGAGGAGGAGGUACGGAGGAGGUACAGAGGAGGAGAAAUGGACGAGGAGAAAUGAGGAGGAGGUAUGGAGGAGGUACGGAGGAGAAAUGGAGGAGGAGAUACGGAGGAGGUAUGGAGGAGGUACGGAGGAGAUAGGGAGGAGACAUAGAGGAGGUUUGGAGGAGGAGAUACGGAGGAGGAGGUACGGAGGAGGAAUGGAGGAGGUACGGAGGAGGAAGGUCAUGGCUGGUCAUGGCUCACAUCAACACCAUCAUGCCGGAAACCCUAGAUCCACUCCAAUUCGCAUACCACCCAAACAGAUCCACAGAUGAUGCAAUGUCUACUGCACUCCCCACUGCCCUUUCCCACCUGGACAAAAGGAACAUCUAUGUGAGAAUGCUGUUCAUUGACUACAGCUCAGCGUUCAACACCAUAGUGCCCUCCAAACUCAUCACUAAGCUAAGGACCCUGGGACUAAACACCUCCCUCUGCAACUGGAACCUGGACUUCCUGACGGGCCGCCCCCAGGUGGUGAGCUAGCUAGCAGAACAGGUACCACUCCUCCUCCUCCUCCUCCUCCAUAAACACAGAGGGGUGGUGAGGAGAGGACCAGCUAGCUAGCAGAACAGGUACCACUCCUCCUCCUCCUCCUCCAUAAACACAGAGGGGUGGUGAGGAGAGGACCAGCUAGCUAGCAGAACAGGUACCACUCCUCCUCCUCCUCCUCCUCCAUAAACACAGAGGGGUGGUGAGGAGAGGACCAGCUAGCUAGCAGAACAGGUACCACUCCUCCUCCUCCUCCUCCAUAAACACAGAGGGGUGGUGAGGAGAGGACCAGCUAGCUAGCAGAAC
This 6819-nucleotide long non-coding RNA is filed under the name Salmo salar (Atlantic salmon). Its description in RNAcentral is "lncRNA (ENSSSAG00000097271.1)". Lineage: Eukaryota; Metazoa; Chordata; Actinopteri; Salmoniformes; Salmonidae. The record is from RNAcentral.